This is a long non-coding RNA of Telopea speciosissima, 92 nucleotides long. RefSeq lists it as uncharacterized. The record is from RefSeq and is a predicted model, not a curated record. The transcript is spliced from 3 exons. Lineage: Eukaryota; Viridiplantae; Streptophyta; Magnoliopsida; Proteales; Proteaceae.
AUUUUGUUGGUAUUGAGUAUGGCAUAAGAUUGUGCUUCCACCCAUUUGGUGAAAUAAUCUAUGGCAAUGAGGAUAAAUUCAUGUCUGUUUCG